Molecule: long non-coding RNA, 4105 nt
Filed under: Homo sapiens (human)
Lineage: Eukaryota; Metazoa; Chordata; Mammalia; Primates; Hominidae
Description: HSALNT0049950
Source: RNAcentral
CAGCCGAAUCUGGUGUCAAAUUUGGAUUUGGGUCAAUCUUGUAGGUGAGAAAUGGAGUCUUGGGGUGGUUUUGGUUUGCAUUUCUCUCUCUCUUUUUUUUUUUUAAUCAUUUUCUUGAUUUUCCAAACUCAUGAGCUCGUUUGAAUAAGGAAUAUUAAUCCUAAUAUUUCUCAUUUUAAGUUAUAAUUUUUAUUGAGGUAAAAUAUACAUAAAACAACAUUUUUAUCAGAGUCCUAUAGAUGGUUAAAAAAAUUCACCAUUUUAACCAUCUCUUAAAGUCUACAAUUUAGCAGCAUUUAAUACAUUCAUAACGUACAACCAUCACUUCUGUGUGCUUCCAAAGCCUUCAUCACGCCAGAAGGAGACCCCGCGCCCGUUCAACACCAUCCCCCCACCCUCAGUCCCCGACAGUCACUGCCCUGCUUCCCACUCAAGUCACCGACACUUUGAAAAUGUGCUAUGUUAUAAAACUUUUUUCCCAGUAUACAUUUUGUCUUUUAUCACUCCUGGGUUUUAAGUCAUAUUUAAGAAGAUUUUGCCCACUCCCCGGUGAUGAAGGAAUUCACUUUUUCCUAGUACUUUUGACCCAUUUGGAAUUUGUCUUAGUGUAUGGUAUGAAGUGCAGAUUCAUUUUCGUCUUUCUCCAAGUGGUUAACGUUUAACCACUUGUAUUAACAAGUCCAUCCUUUCCUCACCGGUAUCAUAUGCUACCUUAUAGACUGAAUGUUCUAGGCACUGGGGUCUGUCCCCGGGUUUUCAUGUCCCUGGGCCUGCUUGCCUACAUGGGUCCUGGUGUCAUGUGGUUCCAUUACGGAGGCCAGGAGAUGGUUCGGGGGCAGAGGACCUCUCCAUUUCUUUUGCAGAGUUUUCCUGGCUAUUUUUACACUCCUGUGCACUUCCUCUCUCACAUGAACUUUAUAAUUAGUUUUCUAGAUCUGGGGAAAAGCAUGCGGCGUUUUUAUAAGGAUUACAUUACAUUUAUAAAUUUACUUUUGUAGAAUUGUCUUGCUUAGGAGAGUUUUCUUAUCCAGGAACAUGGUCUUUCUUUCUGUCUUAAUUCAUUUUCUGUUGCUAUGACUGAAUACCACAGAGUGGGUAAGUUAUAAAGAAAAGAAUUUUAUUUCUUACAGUUCUGGAGGCAGGGAGUCCAAGGUAUAGGAGUUGCAUCUGGUGAGGACCUUCUUGCUGGUCAAGACUCUGCAGUCUCAAGUGGUGCCGGGCAUUAUGUGAGGGUCUCAUGAGAGACGGCAAAGCUGGCUUUUAUAACCAGCCCCCUGGUGAUAACUGCUCCACUCCCUGAGAACCCAUUAGUCCAUGAAUGGAUUAGUCCUCAUGAGCCAAUCACCUCCCCAGAAUCCCAUCCCAGCACUGCUGCAUUGGAGUCCAGGUUUCCAACACAUGAACUUUUGGGGAAUUCAUUCAAACCAUGGUGGUGUUAAAAUCGACUUUGGUGUCUUUAUGGUCUAUUUAAAGUUUUUCCCAUUUAGGGUUUCACAUUUCUUUUACGCAUGGGGAUUUUUAUCUUUUUGUUGCUGUUAAAAAUGGGUCAUCUCUUCCACUCUGUCUUUGAACUGAAAGUAUGCACAAAGAUCUCUGUGUGCUACUUUAAAUCCUGCUGUUUCUCUGAAUUCUCUUAGUGUUUGUAACAUCACUUUCUUGUGCUGGAAAUAUAACAAAGUAUUUGAUCCAAGAAGCAUCUGGCAGGAAGCCUGGGCAGGAGGGGCACCUUGAGCAUGGGCUUCCUCCUCCCCUUUCCUCUGUCUCUUCUCCUACCGGCUGCUUUCCUUCUCUCCCAUCUGCUGUCCACCAGGCAGGCGUUGCCAGACCACCCCAGAGGUCCCCUCUUCAUGUUUCUUGAGGCUGCGUGGGGGGAGGGCAUGAUAGAGGGAGGCAGGGCUUCGAAGGAGGCACUCGGGGGAGGGGGGGGCGAGGAGAGGAUGGGGCAUGCGAGGGGGCCUUGUCCUCCAGCUUUGUCAGAAGCCUAAUGUGCCCUGUGGCCUGAGCUGGCAUCAGACAGGCUUUAAGAGGAGAAUGUCAGCUGGGUGCGGUGGCUCACACCUGUAAUUCUAGCACUUUGGGAGGCCGAGGUGGGUGGAUCCCUUGAGGUCAGGAGUUCGAGACCAGCCUGGCCAACAUGGCAAAACCCCAUCUCUAUGAAAAAUAGAAAAAUUAGCCAGGCGUGGUGGCAGGCGCCUGUAAUUCCAGCUACUCAGGAGGCUGAGGCACAAGAAUCACUUGAACCCGGGAGGCAGAGGUUGCAAUGAGCCAAGACUGCGCCACUGCACUCCAGCCUGGGCGACAGAGUGAGGUCCUAAAAAGGGAAGAAUAUCGCUGCAUCAGAAAGCAGGAAGGUGGGGCCUGCCCGGGGCCAUGGCCCUGCAAUGAGUUUGGCCCAGAGGCACAGACAGACAGGAGACCAAAGUGAAAUGAAUGAAAAUGGACUGGACCCGAUCGGAGGACUGAGGAGAGCCAGGCCUCAGGGCACCUGGCAUUUGUUCCCUGGAUGGAUCAGGGGAACUGAGGAGAGCCGGGCCGCAGGGCACCCUGGCGUUUGUUCUCUGGGCGGAUCAGGGGAACCGAGGAGAGCCGGGCCGCAGGGCACCCUGGCGUUUGUUCCCUGGAUGGAUCAGGGGAACCGAGGAGAGCCGGGCCGCAGGGCACCCUGGCGUUUGUUCCCAGGGUAGGGGAGCUCUAGCAUGGCACACAGUAGCAGAAGAUAGCAGGUUGUGGUCGGCCCAUGUAGAGAUUUUAGAAACAUCUCACACUUCAUGAGAUCUUAGAAACAUCUCACACUUCAGGUUCAGUCACCCGUGUCCAGUGUCCACAGGAAGGCCUGUGCAAGGCCUCAUGGGAAACAGGGUGGUCCACCAGGCCUGCCCUCAAGGGGGCCCCGUCCCGGAGAAGCAGAUGCACAAAGCUGAGGGACACAGGUCGUGGGCCUUCUUGUGUGGCUCCUUGGCCACGGCACCGCAGCACCUGAGAGCCACCGCUGGAGAGGCAAACGAGCCCUGCAGCAGGCCCGAACCAGAGUUCCUGGGCACGGCCGCGUGCACCCAGUCGGGAGCUUCCCUGCUAAGGGUCAGCGAAGGCUUGGGGUGCUGGCAUUAGGGCUGGGUCCUGAGGGAAGAUGAGGGAGAGAAGUAUAGGAGGAGGAGGGAGUUGAAGGCUGCAGACAGGAGGAGGAAGGGGAGGGAGUAGGGCUGCCAGGGGAGGGGUGGAGGGCUGGAUAAGGAGGAGGGCUACAAAGAAAAGAGUAGAGCUGCAGGGAAGGAGGGUGGAGGGCUGCAGCGGGAGGAGGAGAGGGAGGAAGGCUGCAAGGGGAGGAGGAGUAUUGCAGGGGAGGGGGAGGAGAGCUGGCAGGGGAGGAGGAGGAGGGCUACAAAGAAAAGAGAACUGCAGUGGGAGAAGGAGAGUGGUGGAGAGUUGCAGGGGAAGGGGAGAGGGAGGAGGACUGGAGGAGGAGGAGGGAUGUAGGAGGAGGGUAGUGGAGGGCUGCAGAGGAGGAGGAAGAGGAGAAUAGGGAGGACAAAUCCACUCUAGCAGGGGAACGAAAGCAGCAUGGGGCAGACAAAUCCACUCUAGCAUUCCAAUCUCCCUAAGCCUUUGAAUCCCUUCUUCUACACUAACCAUGGGCGGCCAGGCAUGUCCAGUUAUCCCAUGGUGGGCCAUGUUUUGGCCCAUGUUUCAGCCAAGCAGCCAACCAACCAAUUAGAGCCCUUUCUAAAUGCGGAAUCUCUGCUUAGUGAGCCCGUAUCAAUAAACUUGGCCUGAUCUAACUCUGUGUUCCUCCUACCAUUCUCCCAGGCCCUCAAUAUGCAUUCCCACGGUCCUGGGAUUUCUAUGUAAACUGGAAAACUCACGUUCUCUUUGACACCGUGAGGCUGGGAGUUCCACAUGUGCUAUAAUCCAGCCACUGGAAGGGCGAGAUUCUGGGUUUGAUUUUCAGUAGUCUCAGACCCGCAGCUAAAGGAGGUAAGAGUCUCUCUUGGGACAGUCAUAACUUUCAGAUUAUUCAUGUGACACUUCAGCUGGGAAUCUGAAUCCUGAGCUCACUCCCAUGAUACUUUUUCUGAGAUGGAGUCUCACUCUGUAGCCCAGGCUGGAA